RNAcentral lists this ribosomal RNA (301 nucleotides) under uncultured bacterium. Its description in RNAcentral is "partial 16S ribosomal RNA". It matches the Rfam family "Bacterial small subunit ribosomal RNA", at positions 509 to 807 of the family's 1533-position model. The record is from RNAcentral.
CAGCAGCCGCGGUAAUACGUAGGGUGCGAGCGUUAAUCGGAAUUACUGGGCGUAAAGCGUGCGCAGGCGGUUAUAUAAGACAGAUGUGAAAUCCCCGGGCUCAACCUGGGACCUGCAUCUGUGACUGUAUAGCUAGAGUACGGUAGAGGGGGAUGGAAUUCCGCGUGUAGCAGUGAAAUGCGUAGAUAUGCGGAGGAACACCGAUGGCGAAGGCAAUCCCCUGGACCUGUACUGACGCUCAUGCACGAAAGCGUGGGGAGCAAACAGGAUUAGAUACCCCAGUAGUCCCUGUCUCUUAUAC